UUGGCUUAGAAGCAGCCAUCAUUUAAAGAAAGCGUAAUAGCUCACUGGUGGAGUCGGCCUGCGCGGAAGAUGUAACGGGGCUAAACUAUGCACCGAAGCUGCGGCAGCGACACUAUGUGUUGUUGGGUAGGGGAGCGUUCUGUAAGCCUGUGAAGGUGUGUCGUGAGGCAUGCUGGAGGUAUCAGAAGUGCGAAUGCUGACAUAAGUAACGAUAAAGCGGGUGAAAAGCCCGCUCGCCGGAAGACCAAGGGUUCCUGUCCAACGUUAAUCGGGGCAGGGUGAGUCGACCCCUAAGGCGAGGCCGAAAGGCGUAGUCGAUGGGAAACGGGUUAAUAUUCCCGUACUUGGUGUUACUGCGAAGGGGGGACGGAGAAGGCUAUGUUGGCCGGGCGACGGUUGUCCCGGUUUAAGCGUGUAGGUGUGUGUUCCAGGUAAAUCCGGUUCACUUUAACACUGAGGCGUGACGACGAGGCACUACGGUGCUGAAGCAACAAAUGCCCUGCUUCCAGGAAAAGCCUCUAAGCAUCAGGUAACAUCAAAUCGUACCCCAAACCGACACAGGUGGUCAGGUAGAGAAUACCAAGGCGCUUGAGAGAACUCGGGUGAAGGAACUAGGCAAAAUGGUGCCGUAACUUCGGGAGAAGGCACGCUGACACGUAGGUGAAGUGAUUUACUCAUGGAGCUGAAGUCAGUCGAAGAUACCAGCUGGCUGCAACUGUUUAUUAAAAACACAGCACUGUGCAAACACGAAAGUGGACGUAUACGGUGUGACGCCUGCCCGGUGCCGGAAGGUUAAUUGAUGGGGUCAGCGCAAGCGAAGCUCCUGAUCGAAGCCCCGGUAAACGGCGGCCGUAACUAUAACGGUCCUAAGGUAGCGAAAUUCCUUGUCGGGUAAGUUCCGACCUGCACGAAUGGCGUAAUGAUGGCCAGGCUGUCUCCACCCGAGACUCAGUGAAAUUGAACUCGCUGUGAAGAUGCAGUGUACCCGCGGCAAGACGGAAAGACCCCGUGAACCUUUACUAUAGCUUGACACUGAACAUUGAGCCUUGAUGUGUAG
This 1057-nucleotide ribosomal RNA is filed under the name Salmonella enterica. RNAcentral describes it as "partial 23S ribosomal RNA". It matches the Rfam family "Bacterial large subunit ribosomal RNA", at positions 1101 to 2141 of the family's 2925-position model. The record is from RNAcentral. Lineage: Bacteria; Pseudomonadati; Pseudomonadota; Gammaproteobacteria; Enterobacterales; Enterobacteriaceae.